UGCCAGCAGCCGCGGUAAUAAGGAGGGGGUUAGCGUUGUUCGGAAUUACUGGGCGUAAAGCGCACGUAGGCGGACUAUUAAGUCAGGGGUGAAAUCCCGGGGCUCAACCCCGGAACUGCCCUUGAUACUGGUAGUCUAGAGUUCGAGAGAGGUGAGUGGAAUUCCGAGUGUAGAGGUGAAAUUCGGAGAUAUUCGGAGGAACACCAGUGGCGAAGGCGGCGCACUGGCUCGAUACUGACGCUGAGAUGCGACAGCUUGGGGAGCAAACAGGAUUAGAUC
This 279-nucleotide ribosomal RNA is filed under the name uncultured bacterium. RNAcentral's name for it is "partial 16S ribosomal RNA". It matches the Rfam family "Bacterial small subunit ribosomal RNA", at positions 506 to 784 of the family's 1533-position model. The record is from RNAcentral.